Molecule: transfer RNA, 72 nt
Filed under: Coemansia erecta
Lineage: Eukaryota; Fungi; Kickxellomycota; Kickxellomycetes; Kickxellales; Kickxellaceae
Also listed under: 3 other names
Description: tRNA-Arg
Rfam family: tRNA
About the family: Transfer RNA (tRNA) molecules are approximately 80 nucleotides in length.
Source: RNAcentral
GCCCCGUUAGCACAAUGGAUAGUGUAUGGCUCUCCUAAAGCCAUGAUCUGGGUUCGACCCCCAGGCGGGGCU